RNAcentral lists this long non-coding RNA (457 nucleotides) under Monodelphis domestica (gray short-tailed opossum). RNAcentral describes it as "lncRNA (ENSMODG00000045982.1)". Lineage: Eukaryota; Metazoa; Chordata; Mammalia; Didelphimorphia; Didelphidae. The record is from RNAcentral.
UACUCAGGUGUGAAUUAAGAAUGGUCUGUCCUUUGAAAAACGUCUACUAUGAUUGGUAGAUAUAAGGACUUAGGGGAGGUGACAUAGGAGAAAAUGCCCCUUAAAUAGGAGCUCAGAUUCAUUCAGAUGUAUUUUCAGAUUGAGGAUUGAGCUGGUGGAGGCAGCUGAGAUGAUGCUGUCCUGGUGUCACUAGAAUCCUUGCUUGGACACAUCUUGUGGGUGUCUCCUCAGGUCAGUCUACUCAAAAGGGCCAGCCUAAAUUAAAGGAGAUAUAUGGGAUCCGGAGGACAGCAACAGAAAUGCAGAAACAAAAGUCACCAGGACUGAGGAGAUGAUGCUUAUUGAAAAGAAACUUCUCACCACAAGCCAAAGAGCAGACUGGACUUCCCAGAUAAGGUAAAUUAGCUAAAAACAAAGGAAUAGACCAUCUGGGUCUGGUUGACUGCCACUGACCCAC